This is a long non-coding RNA of Octodon degus (degu), 341 nucleotides long. RefSeq lists it as uncharacterized. The record is from RefSeq and is a predicted model, not a curated record. The transcript has 3 exons. NCBI's taxonomy places the organism in Eukaryota, Metazoa, Chordata, Mammalia, Rodentia, Octodontidae.
CUCCGCCCACUCCCUGCCUGACCCGGCUGUCUCCAAAUCCCCCUUCCCAGCUUUGGUCCCCAGCCUCCACCCUGAGGCACGAGAAGGUCAUAAGCCAGAGCAGUAGACCACGAGCCGCCAGUCAAGCCCCAACCAGCCACAGCAGAGCCUGGAAGGAGCAGACACGCCUUUAUUCCUGAGCCUGAAACACUCACUGGCUCUUCCCUGCACGCAGCCCAGGCCAGCCUGACUGUAGCACCCUGCCUGGGCUGAUAACACUGUGCUUGGAGUCCCAGUACCUCCAUCCCUGAGUUACAUGUGUAUGUGCGUGGAGGGGACUCCUGGGAGGCACCUGGAGGUGG